GACGAACGCUGGCGGCGUGCUUAGCACAUGCAAGUCGAACGGAAAGGCCCUGCUUUUGUGGGGUGCUCGAGUGGCGAACGGGUGAGUAACACGUGAGUAACCUGCCCUUGACUUUGGGAUAACUUCAGGAAACUGGGGCUAAUACCGGAUAGGAGCUCCUGCUGCAUGGUGGGGGUUGGAGAGUUUCGGCGGUUGGGGAUGGACUCGCGGCUUAUCAGCUUGUUGGUGGGGUAGUGGCUUACCAAGGCUUUGACGGGUAGCCGGCCUGAGAGGGUGACCGGCCACAUUGGGACUGAGAUACGGCCCAGACUCCUACGGGAGGCAGCAGUGGGGAAUAUUGCACAAUGGGCGGAAGCCUGAUGCAGCAACGCCGCGUGCGGGAUGACGGCCUUCGGGUUGUAAACCGCUUUCGCCUGUGACGAAGCGUGAGUGACGGUAAUGGGUAAAGAAGCACCGGCUAACUACGUGCCAGCAGCCGCGGUGAUACGUAGGGUGCGAGCGUUGUCCGGAUUUAUUGGGCGUAAAGGGCUCGUAGGUGGUUGAUCGCGUCGGAAGUGUAAUCUUGGGGCUUAACCCUGAGCGUGCUUUCGAUACGGGUUGACUUGAGGAAGGUAGGGGAGAAUGGAGUUCCUGGUGGAGCGGUGGAAUGCGCAGAUAUCAGGAGGAACACCAGUGGCGAAGGCGGUUCUCUGGGCCUUUCCUGACGCUGAGGAGCGAAAGCGUGGGGAGCGAACAGGCUUAGAUACCCUGGUAGUCCACGCUGUAAACGGUGGGUACUAGGUGUGGGGUCCAUUCCACGGGUUCCGUGCCGUAGCUAACGCUUUAAGUACCCCGCCUGGGGAGUACGGCCGCAAGGCUAAAACUCAAAGGAAUUGACGGGGCCCCGCACAAGCGGCGGAGCAUGCGGAUUAAUUCGAUGCAACGCGUAGAACCUUACCUGGGUUUGACAUGGAUCGGGAGUGCUCAGAGAUGGGCGUGCCUCUUUUGGGGUCGGUUCACAGGUGGUGCAUGGCUGUCGUCAGCUCGUGUCGUGAGAUGUUGGGUUAAGUCCCGCAACGAGCGCAACCCUUGUUCACUGUUGCCAGCACGUUAUGGUGGGGACUCAGUGGAGACCGCCGGGGUCAACUCGGAGGAAGGUGGGGAUGACGUCAAGUCAUCAUGCCCCUUAUGUCCAGGGCUUCACGCAUGCUACAAUGGCUGGUACAGAGAGUGGCGAGCCUGUGAGGGUGAGCGAAUCUCGGAAAGCCGGUCUCAGUUCGGAUUGGGGUCUGCAACUCGACCUCAUGAAGUCGGAGUCGCUAGUAAUCGCAGAUCAGCAACGCUGCGGUGAAUACGUUCCCGGGGC
RNAcentral lists this ribosomal RNA (1345 nucleotides) under uncultured bacterium. Its description in RNAcentral is "partial 16S ribosomal RNA". It matches the Rfam family "Bacterial small subunit ribosomal RNA", at positions 28 to 1380 of the family's 1533-position model. The record is from RNAcentral.